UUGACCUCGAAUCAGGUAGGAAUACCCGCUGAACUUAAGCAUAUCAACG
RNAcentral lists this ribosomal RNA (49 nucleotides) under Ophiocordyceps arbuscula. RNAcentral's name for it is "partial 26S ribosomal RNA". Lineage: Eukaryota; Fungi; Ascomycota; Sordariomycetes; Hypocreales; Ophiocordycipitaceae. The record is from RNAcentral.